UACGGAGGGGGCAAGCGUUGUUCGGAAUUAUUGGGCGUAAAGGGCGUCUAGGCGGCCGGAUAAGUCGGAUGUGAAAUCCCUCGGCUCAACUGAGGAACUGCAUUCGAUACUGUCUGGCUUGAGUCCGGGAGAGGGUAGCGGAAUUCCCAGUGUAGCGGUGAAAUGCGUAGAUAUUGGGAAGAACACCGGUAGCGAAGGCGGCUACCUGGACCGGCACUGACGCUGAAGCGCGAAAGCCAGGGGAGCGAAUGGG
Molecule: ribosomal RNA, 253 nt
Filed under: uncultured bacterium
Lineage: Bacteria
Description: partial 16S ribosomal RNA
Rfam family: Bacterial small subunit ribosomal RNA
Source: RNAcentral